This is an RNA transcript of Mesocricetus auratus (golden hamster), 1253 nucleotides long. It is a transcript of the gene named FA complementation group L, with no coding region annotated. NCBI's taxonomy places the organism in Eukaryota, Metazoa, Chordata, Mammalia, Rodentia, Cricetidae. The transcript is spliced from 15 exons. The record is from RefSeq and is a predicted model, not a curated record.
GCAUGUGCGGCGGCCAUUCCCGCGCGCCAUGGCCGAGACAGACGCUAACCUGUUGCGCCACUUCCCGCUGCUGCUUCCUCAGAACCGGGAGAAAACUGUGUAUGAGGGAUUCAUUUCGGCUCAGGGAAGUGACUACCACCUCAAAAUAGUGCUGCCUAAAGAUCUGCAGCUGAAGAACGCAAGAUUACUGUGUAGCUGGCAAUUGAAAAAUAUACUUAAUGAAUACCAUCAGAUAGUCCAACAGAGAAUGAAGCAGUCUCCUGAUCUAGUGAGCUUUAUGAUGGAGUUGAAGAUGAUUUUGGAAGCUGCUUUAAAGCAUAGACAAGAGUUGUGCAUACAACCACCUUCUCGCGGUUUCUGCACCGACCUUCUUAGAGAGAUAGGAGCUGUUGGUUGGGAUAAACUUGUGUGUGUGGAUACUUCCUUCAGUACCAUCAAGCUACAAGCAGAGGAUACCUCUGGUAGAAAACAUGUGAUCACCGUCAAGUUGAAGGCAAAGUAUCCUGUAGAGCCACCAGAUUGUGUUGUAGAUUUUCCUGUUCCGUUUUCUAUUUCCUGGACACCACAGAGCUCCUUGGUAGAUGUGCAUGCUCAGUUCUUGGCAGCAUUGGAGUCGCUGAAGGCAUUCUGGGAUGCUAUGGAUGAAAUUGAUGAGAAGACCUGGGUGCUGGAACCAGAAAAACCUCCCCGGAGUGCGACGGCACGCAGGAUCGCAUUAGGGCAUAAUGUUUCCAUCCACAUAGAGGUAGACCCCAGGCACCCUACCAUGCUUCCUGAGUUUUGCUUUCUUGGAGCUGACCAUGUGGUAAAACCCCUAGGAGUCAAGCUUAGUGGGAACAUACACUUAUGGGAUCCAGAAAGUAGUCUCUUACAAAAUUUGAAAGAUGUUUUAGAAAUUGAUUUCCCAGCUCGUGCUGUUUUGGAAGAAUCUGUAACAUUUAUAUCAAUGAACUUGCUGACCCCCACCAGGACUUUAGCAUGGACUGUGGAAUCUGUUAUGCCCGUCAUCUUAAUGGUGCCAUUCCUGAUCAAGUAUGUGAUAACCCCCAGUGUGGACAGCCUUUCCAUCAAAUAUGCUUAUAUGAGUGGCUGAGGGGACUGAGCACCAGCAGACAGAGCUUCAACAUCUUCUUUGGUGAAUGUCCCUAUUGCAGCAAGCCGAUUACCUUGAGAAUGUCUGUGAGAAAACCCUGAAGAAUGAGGCACACCUGUGAAGAGAAGAAAUCCUAAUAAAUUUUUUUUUAAAAAAGCAA